UAAAGGCAGAUGGGAUAAUUACUCAAGCGGAACCUAUCGAUGCAGUGAUGCUGCUACGGCCGCGGUGUGUUUACAAAUAGUUCACUGAGAUCUCGCCGACCCAGUUUACGAGAACCUGCGAGAUUAGCGGACCAUUUCAGAUUCAAUAUGGCUGCCCAGACUACUACACAGAAAUUUAGUGAUAUAUACGAUCUAAAAGAAGAACUUGGGAAGGGUGCUUUUUCCAUUGUGCGAAGAUGUGUACAGAAAUCCACAAAUUUAGAGUUUGCUGCAAAAAUCAUUAACACAAAGAAAUUAUCGGCCAGAGAUCAUCAAAAGCUUGAAAGAGAAGCUAGAAUAUGUAGGCUAUUAAAACAUACAAAUAUAGUACGAUUACAUGAUAGUAUACAGGAUGAGGGGUUCCACUAUCUUGUGUUUGACUUGGUAACAGGAGGGGAGUUGUUUGAAGACAUUGUAGCCAGGGAAUUCUACAGUGAGGCAGAUGCAAGUCACUGCAUGCAGCAAAUUUUAGAGAGUGUUAACUAUUGUCAUCAACAUGGAAUAGUGCACAGAGAUUUAAAGCCUGAAAACCUGUUGUUAGCUAGCAAAGCCAAAGGAGCAGCUGUGAAGUUAGCAGACUUUGGUCUGGCCAUAGAAAUACAGGGCGAUCAGCAGGCAUGGUUUGGCUUCGCUGGAACUCCUGGCUAUUUGUCCCCAGAAGUCCUGAGAAAAGACCCUUAUGGGAAGCCUGUAGAUAUAUGGGCAUGUGGUGUGAUUUUAUAUAUCCUGUUGGUGGGCUACCCCCCAUUCUGGGAUGAGGAUCAGCACAGACUUUAUGCUCAGAUCAAGGCUGGGGCUUAUGAUUACCCUUCCCCAGAAUGGGACACGGUCACACCAGAGGCCAAGAAUCUCAUCAACAGUAUGCUGACAGUCAACCCUGCAAAGCGUAUCAAUGCCACAGAGGCACUGAAGCACCCCUGGAUAUGCCAACGUGAGAGAGUGGCAUCUGUGGUUCACAGACAGGAGACUGUAGACUGCCUGAAGAAAUUCAACGCCAGGAGGAAACUCAAGGGUGCAAUUCUUACUACAAUGUUGGCUACGAGGAACUUCUCUAGUGGUGGUUGGGGUGGAGGAGGUCAAGCAUUGUCAGCGACGGCCAAGGUCAACGGUGCAGCAUCUAAUGGCAACAUGGCAGCAAAACUAGCAUCUUCUCUUGUAGUAGAUUCUGGAAAACAGGCCGUCCCAACUGGAGAUCCACACAUGGAGCAAGCAUCGGCAUUGAAAGAUGCUGCAGUUGAUACAAAAGAUAGAGCAAAGAGUCCAUUAGGUUUAACUGGUGAAUCUAAAGGUACAGCCGCAUUUCCAUUCACCACACCUGAAGUGAAUAAGCAGCCCUCAACAAUGGCAUCAGUUCUGUUUGGUCAGCCGAAGAAAGAGCCAUCAAACUUCCUGGCAGCUUUGGUGUCUGGCCAGGCCAAGCAGGAAGUCUCCAAAGCAGUUGCAGUGUUAGCAGGACCAGAAACAAGUCGAACAGCUCCUCUUCCUGCUUCUGUAUCCAGGCAACCUCAACCUGAGGCCUCGAAGAUAGCCAGUUGUAUGAUGGGCACAGCUGGUCCUCCUGCUUCUGUACCUGGGCAACCUCAACUGGAGGCCUUGAAGAUAGCCAGUUGUAUGAUGGGCGGUGGCCGUAGUCUGAUGGCGAAGAAGAACGAUGGAAUCAAAGAAUCCACGGACAGUUCGGCCACUAUUGAUGAAUCUGAUGACACCAAAGGAAAAAGCGAUAUGGACAGGGGCAUCACUUUGACAGGGGGCAUCACUUUGACAGAAUUGCAGAUUAAUGAGUCCUCUACUGAUCCUCAAAAAACGCCGUGUAGAAAACAGGAUGUGAUCAAACUAACCGAGCAGCUGAUAGCAGCAAUAACUAGCGGCGAUUACGACGCCUACACCAAAUUCGUGGAUCCACAUAUGACAUGUUUUGAACCCGAAGCCAUGGGAAACCUAAUAGUUGGUAUGGAUUUCCAUAAGUUUUAUUUUGAUGUACAUACAAAGAACAAUAAGCAGAUCAACACUAGUAUAUUAAACCCUCACGUUCACCUGUUGGGAGAUGAUGCUGCUUGCAUAGCUUAUGUAAGGCUGACACAGUACAUAGACAGAAAUGGUCUACCUGUGACCACACAAGCUGAGGAAACCCGGGUCUGGCAGCGUAAGGAUAAUAAGUGGCAGAAUGUUCACUUCCAUCGGUCAGGAAGUCCUUCCGCACCCAACAAAUAGGUAGCAGUGGUUACCCGCCUUACAGUGGUAGGGGGGACCGCAGUGUUGCCAGAAGCAGAGGGACGGAGCCUUAGGGCUUGUUUUUGCUCAUUCUGACACUUGAGAUUUAUAUUUCCAGCUGGUCAUAUUGUUCUCGGGGGGCCGCCUAGCCCUAUGGCCUACUGCUGCCAUGCAUUUAUGUGGCCUGCGGGUGGAGCGUUGGAGGGAGGACCUGUUGCUACACAUUAUUUCUCUCUCAUUGGAGUGUAUGUAUAGGCUGACACUUGUCUGUUCUGUACUAGGGAUAACAACACACAUACCUGUGUAGCCGACAAGCACUCGUCAUGGUCAGCACACAAUGGUUACUUUACUAAUAAUACAAUUUUUUGUCACCAGCAUCAGGUAGUAAUUAUUCUAUGUAAAUUGGGCUGAUAUCUUAAAAAAAAUCUUUUUUGAUAAUGUUGAAUGAGUACUUUAAGAUCUACUGUCUUUAUAUAAUUAAUGUAUAGGAGCAUAAAAAUAGAUUUUGUGCUUGUGAAAUUUUUAUCUCAAAUUUGGGAUUGGAAAUUAGAAAUAUUAUUAAAACAACAACGCAUGAUUAUCUAUUACAUGAAAUUGUCUUUGAAGGCAUUUUUUAAAGAAAAAAUACAUAAAUUUAGUGAAUAUGUAGAAGAGUAUUACGAAACGAAUGUGUGACUCGUCUAAGGGUGAUCGUAGAGCUUUAGUCUUUUUAUUACACUCUAUGGAUAAAUUGUUACAGAGUACAUAACCAGAAUUAUUAAUUUUUCUUAUUGACUUUUAUUAUAAUUAUUAUCAAAUGCAAAAUAUAACUCUUGUAUCAUUAGUAUGAUAUUGUUAUUACAUGUAAAUGGCUUUACUAAGUAAUCUCAUGUGUUUAUAGGAGAGAAUGUGAGUAUGUCUAAUGUGGGGGAAAUCAGCACUUCUAGAUCAUUUAAAUACUGGUUUUGAAUGUUGAAUGCAUUGCGAUAUAUAUAAGUCCCUUUUUUCAGUUAUUGAUGAUAUGUGCAAUAUUGAUUAUGAUGUUUUGCCAAUUUUAAUAAGAUUUCCCCUUCCCUGUCAUUCAAUCCCCCACCCACAGCUACUUAGCUGUGUAUUUUGGUGGUAACCAAUUAUAUCAAUCAGAGAAGAAACACCACAGUUUAUUUAUAUAGAUCAUACCAAUCCCUUUUUCUUCUGUCAUACAAGUUAUUAGGGUUUUGAUCUGUUGUAAACCUAAUGAUUAAACAGCAGGGCAGUGGCUUAUCACUUCUACAUGUCCUGUAGUUUACAUAUAUAUUUGUGCAUAUUCAUUUACAUUUUACCAUAUUUAUCUAUAAUGGGCAUAUGUAGAUGUAUACCAAACCUUUUUGCUGAAUAUGGAUGUAUUUCAUUCUUAAAAUUGUAUAUAUUUUGAAAUCAUUUAGUUUUGAACCAAACUGUUAUACACUAUUUUAUGAUAUAGAUACAUUUGUUAUUUCCAGUGUGUGUAAGCUUGUCUGUAUGAUCACUUUUUUCUCCUCAAAGAAGUGACAUUUUAGGUAACCCUGGGUUGAUGAUAUUCCCAUUGUUUGUUCAUUUAAGACUUUGAACCUGCAGAUAUGUCACUCCAGUUUGCUCAUUCCUUCGAUAUCUUGAUCAUACUUCAUCUUUGUAUACACCCUCCCCCGUCCUUACCUUUGAAAUAUGCAAUUUUAAGCACCUCCCAGGCAACUCCACAUUUCCCCACCCAUUCCUCGAGCACUUGCUUUUACCCCUCCCUCCCCCCAUAUUCCUAUUUUUGUAGAUUAUAGGUAGGUUCAUCAGUAUGCAGUAUUGAUCAUGUCAGAAACAAUCAGUCUCAAGCUUCAUAAGAUGGUCUAUUCGUGAUGUACAUAAGCCAGCCUCAUUUUUCUCACCUUUAAAAUAGCUCUUGGCUCAUAGUACAUAAAACAGUGGACACUUCAAUACUAAAACAGUGGACACUUCAAUACUAAAACAGUGGACACUUCAAUACUAAAACAGUGGACACUAACAGUGAUUUGUUGGCAGAGUUUAUGGUUUCAUCUGAGAGAAAAGUACUUAAACGUUUCCAAGAAUUGGAAGUUUGGACAUAAUCUUCAAACAGAGCCGAUGUUAAUUUCAGUGUGUGUGUGCCAGUGUCAGUGUAAGGAGGGUUGGUUUGUAGAUAUAUUUUUAUAUGUCAAGUAGGUCUAACUCUGCCCAUGGUUGUCAUAUGAUUACUUGAGCCAUGCUGUAAAGUGUCAAUCAAAAUGGCUAAACUCAAAUUAUGCAGUUCACUAUCCAUCAAUUUACAGCUCUCUUGGUACAAAGUGCCUGCGAGCUUGUCAUGGUGUGGCAGAUUUUUACUUGAAACAACUUCCUCUUAAAGAAAAUAAGGCCUAAUGUCAUAACAUUUCACAUGUUGUUGUUUUUAAUGACCUUGACUUAUGUUCAAGGUCACACGGGUCAGAUAUAUUAAUAUCAUCAGUCAGUUUCUUGUAAUUAACCAGGAGACCAACAGAAUUAACUUCAGCCUGGAGUUACAAUUUCAAAUAAAUGACCUUGACAAAUAUUUAUAAAUAAAGAGGCCUAGAGUAUUUAUAUUGGCCUGUAGCUUGCUGAGUACAUUCAACAUCACAUUGGUAAAAUGUGCAAAUUUGGCCUGUAAGUGUAAUAGGGGGUACAGAUCCCACAAGGUCACAGAGGUCAAAUGUGUUGAAAAUUGAUACUAGUGUUUCUGUUAUUAUUCGGCUCAAUGAAGAAAUAUGAAAUGGCCACCAUGGCCUGAAAUCAGGGGAAACAUUUUUAUGUUUGAAAUAGAGGCAGGUGAGCAUUUUAGGCCACAUGGGCCUCUUAUUUUUAAGUCACGAAGAUAGUUUAUGCAAACUAUUGUAGACAUUAGGUUAGGAUAUGUAGAUGGUUAGUACAUAAAGCUGGCAAGCACAUGCUGUUUGUGAACAUUUAACAAGUCUCUUACUCUCAACCUAUUUGUUCAUUAUUAUAACUUUUAGGAUAUUUUGCUUUUUAGUACUAAAAUGAUUUUACUGUUUUUUUCUCUAAAAAUAAACUUUUUUUCCCAAAAGAGAUAAUUGAGCGUUUUUUAAAUAUGCUUAUCUUCUACAACACACGCUGUGGAGUACAACUAUCUCUUGCACUGAAAUGAGAUUGGUUUGUAUUCACAAACAUUUGAUGCAUUUCUUCCCUAAGAGAGUUGGAUGUCUACAAAGUGCUGACAUGUUAUUGUGUCAUGAAGAUAUUUUGAUAUUAUUACCAUAAUACAUUAUUCUGUCAUUUUUUCCAUAUUUUGUUGUUGUUACACGAGGCAUUUUGCUGAUAUGAUUUGUUUUUUGUCACUUGUCAUUGUGUUGCCACUUGUGGCUCCUGAAUGGCUACAGAAUGAUGCGUGGUACACUCCCACCAUUCUCAGGUGAUGAUCUUUUACAAACAUGCCAUUUUCUGGGCUUGUGUGACAGCCACCAUGUGAGAACAAAGAGUAAUGGAAGAUAAUAGAGUAAACCAACUUUUGAAUGUUCCUGUUGACCGGGCCUUUACGUCGGUCAGCAGUGGUAGUGUUGGUGGUGACCAGGAUAUACUGUUGACCGGGCCUUUACGUCGGUCAGCAGUGGUUUUGUUGGUAGUGACCAGGAUAUACUGUUGACCGGCCCUUUGCGUCGGUCAGCAGUGGUAGGGUUGGUAGUGACCAGGAUAUACUGUUGACUGGGCCUUUACGUCGGUCAGCAGUGGUAUUGUUGGUAGUGACCAGGAUAUACUGUUGAUCGGGCCUUUACGUCGGUCAGCAGUGGUUUUGUUGGUAGUGACCAGGAUAUACUGUUGAAUGGGCCUUUACGUCGGUCAGCAGUGGUAGUGUUGGUGGUGACCAGGAUAUACUGUUGACCGGGCCUUUAGGUCGGUCAGCAGUGGUAUUGUUAGUAGUGACCAGGAUAUCCUGUUGACCGGGCCUUUAGGUCGGUCAGCAGUAGUAUUGUUAGUAGUGACCAGGAUAUACUGUUGACGGGGCCUUUACGUCGGUCAGCAGUGGUAGUGCUGGUAGUGACCAGGAUAUACUGUUGACCGGCCCUUUGCGUCGGUCAGCAGUGGUAGGGUUGGUAGUGACCAGGAUAUACUGUUGACUGGGCCUUUACGUCGGUCAGCAGUGGUAGUGCUGGUAGUGACCAGGAUAUACUGUUGACCGGGCCUUUAGGUCGGUCAGCAGUGGUAUUGUUAGUAGUGACCAGGAUAUCCUGUUGACCGGGCCUUUACGAGGUCAGCAGUGGUAGUGUUGGUAGUGACCAGGAUAUACUGUUGACCGGGCCUUUACGUUGGUCAGCAGUGGUAUUAUUGGUAGUGACUAGGAUAUACUGUAUUACAAGCUAGGUGACAGGUAAAUGAACUUUAUGUUUAACCAUGUCCUCAAUCAUCGGGUCAUACUUCCCCACUGAUCUCAACUGUCUGUUUACUUGAGCUACUAAUCUUAUGCAGUUCUCCUAUUUAGUCCUGUACUCAGUUUUCAUAGAAGUUUUCCAAAAUGGAGGGUAGUUGCAUUUUUUUCUUCUCUUCAAACAAUUUUUUUUUCCAUUUCACAGCUUAGUUAUCAAAAGUAGAAGUUAUGAAAAAAAUAAAAAUAGAUAAUGUAUGUAAAAUAGCUAACAUUUUGAAUGAUAGUCUACAAUGUACACCCAAAGGCAAGGAUCAUUUAGCAAUAUUUUAUUAAAAAAAAAUCUUCUUUAAAAUCUAAAUGACCUAUUUCUUUAUUUUUAAAUUCUUUGGAAAUUGUGAUUUGGUGUAUUGUUGUAAGACAGUUAUAGGAAGCUGUUGGCACUGCCGAACAUAUACUAAAUAGGAUCCUGUAUCUCUUUGUUAAUUCACACCAAAAUAUAGCUGGCCACCAAAAUAAGCCAACCUGUGUUGUCUAUGUGUUACAGUCUAGGGACAAUCUGUCGUAUUAUCACAUGCAAAUUAAUUGAUGUCUACACUUUUUAUUAUUAAUAUAUUCUAGCAUUGUUCCUAGCCGUUUUGAAUACCAGUAGUUGAUGUUACGUAGUUUUCUAGUACGACACAUUUGGUAUAAGUUUUUUAUCAUAGCUUACAGCUCCUUGAAGGAGCCUUUCAUAUUUUCAAAACUAUCUUGUAAAUAUUUAACAUAUUAUUUGUCAUUUAAAAAAGGCAAUUGUGAGACUUUCGAAACACUAACCAUAUACAUGCAAGAUUGGGAGGAUGUGCUAUAGCAUCUGUGUUGGUACUGGCCGAACAUUACCUACAAUACUGUCAUGUAUAGGUUGGUACAGGCCGAACAUUACCUACAAUACUGUCACGUAUAGGUUGGUACAGGCCGAACAUUACCUACAAUACUGUCAUGUAUAGGUUGGUCUGGUACAGGCCGAACAUUACCUACAAUACUGUCAUGUAUAGGUUGGUCUGGUACAGGUCGAACAUUACCUACAAUACUAUCACGUAUAGGUUGGUUUGGUACAGGCCGAAUAUUACCUACAAUACUGAUACACUAAGUAUUUUUGUUGUUUUAUUAGUAAAUGUUAAUUUCCUUCAAUUUGAAACAUUCCCUUUGAAAAUGUUUAUACAUUAGUACUUAGCCACUAGAUUGCAGUUGUAUGGUGUUAGAUACUGUGAAGGACACUUAUCAGGGUAUUUUACUGUAUUAUCAAUUUGUUUUGUAGUUUGUUUAAAAAGGGAGGCUGUCCUAGGCAAAGCUAAUGUGUCUACUUGGUGAUCAUAUUAACACUAGUCGAAAGGUUACAUUUGGGACUAUGUUAGCUCUUUACUUCACCCAACCAACAUCAUCAGCUUCGAAUUCUCAGUAGAACGGUUCGACUUACAUUGAAGACUUCUCUGACUGCACUUGUAAGAGGCAAAUAUUCGAUCUAGUUAUAAUGUUACUUAUUCCAUGGAGUAAUAAUGUUACUUAUUCCAUGGAGUAAUAAUGUUACUUAUGUCAUGAAGUGAUAAUGUUACUUAUGUCAUGGAGUAAUAAUGUUACUUAUGUCAUGGAGUAAUAAUGUUACUUAUGUCAUGGAGUAAUAAUGUAGCGUAUUCCACGUAGAUAUAAUGUAACUUAUUCCACGUAGAAAUAAUGUAACUAGUUCCAUGGAGUGAUAAUGUAACUAGUUCCAUGGAGAAAUAAUGUAACUUAUUCCAUGGAGUAAUAAUGUUACUUAUGUCAUGAAGUGAUAAUGUUACUUAUGUCAUGGAGUAAUAAUGUUACUUAUGUCAUGGAGUAAUAAUGUAGCGUAUUCCACGUAGAAAUAAUGUAACUUAUUCCACGUAGAAAUAAUGUAACUAGUUCCAUGGAGAAAUAAUGUAACUAGUUCCAUGGAGAAAUAAUGUAACUAGUUCCAUGGAGUGAUAAUGUAACUAGAAUAAGCGACUUGCGUCCACAGGUCCCAGUAACUAUGUUCCAGUGUAAAAGACUCCAGACAACAGUCAGGCUAACAGUUGUGCCAUAGUUAUUUUACAUCAUCACAGAAUCAAUCGGAGAAUGGCAAUAUUUCUAUCAAACUUUACAUGACAAUAUUUUAUUUAUUGUCUAUUUACAGAUUCUAAAAUCAAUUUUCAAACAUUUUAUCUUCCUUAAUAGCCUGAACAUUAUGAAAUAUCCUAAAUGGAAUAGCUCAUGUUAGAUAAAAAUUGAUGUAUUACAAAUAUUGUUUUGUUAUACCUGGUAUGCAGGAUAUAUGAGGUGCACAUCAUGUACACAACAUAAUGAUAUCAAAUUGUUAAGAAUCCUGCAUUGCCAUUCAUUUUAUAUAUUAUAACGAAUUUGAUUAAUAUGGUUAUUAAAAUUAAACUUUGAGAGUUCUGAAAUAUAAUGAUGAAAUUGAAACCAAGUGGAAAUUACCUUAUAUGUAUGAAAUGUGAUUUAAUCAAUAUUAUACUAUUUUGUAGUGCUGCUGCUAAAUUGAAAUCUGCAGGUCAGUCAGUCUUCUAUAUUAAAAGCAGUUUAGUAUCCAGUAAGUUUCUACUGGUUAUAUAUGUUGAUCAAUACACUAGAUACCCUUUCUCUUUCAAACCCAUUACAAACACUUAUGCCACCCAUUGUUUUCAUAUAUUAGGUGUCGUACACAUUUCUUCAUUGAAUUUUUUUCAACCGUGUAUGUAUGUGAUGUAGUGCUUAAACAAUUUAAAUGUAUCCCUUUUGAAUAAAACACAUCUCAAUUCUAUAAAA
Molecule: unclassified non-coding RNA, 9385 nt
Filed under: Mizuhopecten yessoensis (Yesso scallop)
Lineage: Eukaryota; Metazoa; Mollusca; Bivalvia; Pectinida; Pectinidae
Description: calcium/calmodulin-dependent protein kinase type II delta chain-like, transcript variant X9
Source: RNAcentral